Molecule: long non-coding RNA, 1837 nt
Organism: Ostrinia nubilalis (European corn borer)
Lineage: Eukaryota; Metazoa; Arthropoda; Insecta; Lepidoptera; Crambidae
Exons: 3
Source: RefSeq, a predicted model, not a curated record
CAGGCCCUAUUAGCACAACACCAGAGAUGCCGACGGCAGCGGACAUGCAACUAGCAGCGGCUGUCGGAAGGUCUAAAGGUGCAAUUUUUUAUAAAGCCAUCACGACACUGCUGCUGCCAUUAGUGAUGCUCGUGGUGAUAUCGUAAAUAGACAAAGUGGUAAAUGGCUAAGAGUUCGAACUUAUAAAGUUUCAAGUGAGGCUUCAACCUCUAGUCAAACCCAAAGUGAAAACGCGUGGUCUCCCGCAAGGGACAAUUUUAGGCACACAAUCUAAUGUCCUGCAAACCAAAUAGCUUCAAUGUGUAUUCUUUAAACAUUACCAAAUUCUAUGAACUUUAAGUCGUAGCUAUCGAAUUGUACAGAUAUGUAUGAAUUUCAUAUAAAAAUAUUUUUCUUAAAUUAUAAAAACCAAUAGUUAAUGAUUUGUAAAUAAUGGCAUUUUUAAAAACGUUGUAAAUAUUAUAAAUUGGUGGAAGUAGAUAGUUAUGCUGAAUGGCCUAAUAGUGUUGGACGUUGUUUUAACUAAAAACAAUUAAUUAGUUACGAAUUUGUCUAUUGUUUAAUGCAAAAUACAGAAAAAAAACGUUACUUUGUUAAGACUUAUUUAUUUAUUCUUUUUUUAGAAGGCAUAAGAUUUCUAAUAUAUUUUUAUGUAAUAACUGUCUAUGUAUAGUAAUUCGUGUAAUUUAAUGAGAAGUUCAUAUUUUGUUGAACAUUGUCUUUUUCUUUAACUUAUUUAUUAUUUAAUUCUAGAUAAAACACGUCCAAAGAUAGGUUAUGAAACACGUAUUAAUAAAUAGCUUCGUUGCUUUUUUAGAAGUUAUCAGUCAUUGAUCUCUUUUAUGAGGGGUUUGUCACAGCAGUAAUUUAAACAUCGUUAGAUUUAUUUUGACAGUCGUGAACAUCAACAGGCUUUUCUUUGAUAAUGUAGCGAAGCGGUCGCGAUUUAAGAACUAAUGUUACAUUGUCUACGGUCAUACAUUAUAUUAUUCAUUUACAAUGAGUAUAUUUUAUGGGAAAUUUUAAAAUGAAAAAACCUAUGACAUACCUACCUUCAGAUCAGAGAUCAAUGACACAACCAAAAUUUUAAAAUCACUGUUGACUAUUUAUUUGUAGUUAUGUGUGUGGAAAAUAAAAAUUUCAUUAACACUUUAUAUCGUAGCUCCCAGAUUUAAAAUAAAUAUGGGUCUAUCACACCACACUUGAAAUAAUUAAAUAAAUAUUUAUUUUAAUUCGUAUUCAUCCAAAAUUGCAUAAACAAAAAAGUUUAUUCAUAAUUAUUUUUAAAUCUGGGUGUUGUUAUUCAAAAAUGCCCCUUAUUAUGUUAGUUAAAUACACUUACGAAAUACGUAUAAACUGUACAAAUUUUACGAAGUUGUUUUAUUAUUUUGAAGGGGAGAUCCCCUCCCAAACAGGGUAUCGUGUUUAUUUAAAUUAUCAUUUUAAUAAUGUCACAGUUCGAUAUUGACUUUGGACAAUAUUCUAUAAAUUAUUUAUGCCCUUAUUCGUAAACUUAUUUUAAAUCAUAACUAAAUUACUAUUGUGAUUGUAUUUAUUUUGUCCUUAAAUUAAAAUUGUGUCACCGCAUUACUUAUUUUGAAUAAGCAUUAAAUGUUUAUUAGAAAAUUAACUAAACUAUUAGGUAGAAAAAGAAAAUUUGUUCAUGAAUAAGGGCGGAUGUAAAUAAAUGUAAGAAAUUUGUAUGACCCUUAGUGUAAGUUUUUAUUUGUGUAAUAAAUAUUACAUUUGCUGUGCAUACUGCCGUUUAUGGAUAAGAUCCAGUCAAGACUUUUAUUGUGAGAUUUCUUAAAUUAAAUAAAAAGGAUCGUUGUGUAAA